RNAcentral lists this ribosomal RNA (427 nucleotides) under uncultured beta proteobacterium. RNAcentral describes it as "bacterial SSU rRNA". It matches the Rfam family "Bacterial small subunit ribosomal RNA", at positions 355 to 774 of the family's 1533-position model. Lineage: Bacteria; Pseudomonadati; Pseudomonadota; Betaproteobacteria. The record is from RNAcentral.
UGGGGAAUUUUGGACAAUGGGCGAAAGCCUGAUCCAGCCAUGCCGCGUGAGUGAAGAAGGCCUUCGGGUUGUAAAGCUCUUUUAGUCGGAAAGAAAGAGUUGCAAUAAAUAAUUGUGAUUUAUGACGGUACCGACAGAAAAAGCACCGGCUAACUACGUGCCAGCAGCCGCGGUAAUACGUAGGGUGCGAGCGUUAAUCGGAAUUACUGGGCGUAAAGGGUGCGCAGGCGGUCUUGCAAGUCAGAUGUGAAAGCCCCGGGCUUAACCUGGGAAUUGCGUUUGAAACUACAAGGCUAGAGUGCAGCAGAGGGGAGUGGAAUUCCAUGUGUAGCAGUGAAAUGCGUAGAGAUGUGGAAGAACACCGAUGGCGAAGGCAGCUCCCUGGGUUGACACUGACGCUCAUGCACGAAAGCGUGGGGAGCAAACA